GGUAUAGCUCAGUGGUAAAGCACUUGCCUGGCAUGCGUGAGGCCCUGGGUUCAAAUCCCAGAACUACCA
RNAcentral lists this transfer RNA (69 nucleotides) under Ictidomys tridecemlineatus (thirteen-lined ground squirrel). Its description in RNAcentral is "Spermophilus tridecemlineatus (thirteen-lined ground squirrel) tRNA". It matches the Rfam family "tRNA". From Rfam's summary of the family: Transfer RNA (tRNA) molecules are approximately 80 nucleotides in length. The record is from Rfam by way of RNAcentral. Lineage: Eukaryota; Metazoa; Chordata; Mammalia; Rodentia; Sciuridae.